This 901-nucleotide ribosomal RNA is filed under the name uncultured bacterium. RNAcentral describes it as "bacterial SSU rRNA". It matches the Rfam family "Bacterial small subunit ribosomal RNA", at positions 33 to 925 of the family's 1533-position model. The record is from RNAcentral.
ACGCUGGCGGCGUGCUUAACACAUGCAAGUCGAACGAAAAUACCAAGCUUGCUUGGUUGAUUAGUGGCGAACGGGUGAGUAACACGUGAGUAACCUGCCCCUUACUUUCCUGGAUAACUGCUCGAAAGGGUAGCUAAUACGGGAUAUUCUGACCAUCCUGCAUGGGUUGGUUUGGAAAGGUUGUUUUUCUGGUAAGGGAUGGGCUCGCGGCCUAUCAGCUUGUUGGUGGGGUGAUGGCCUACCAAGGCUUUGACGGGUAGCCGGCCUGAGAGGGUGGACGGUCACACUGGGACUGAGAUACGGCCCAGACUCCUACGGGAGGCAGCAGUGGGGAAUAUUGCACAAUGGGCGCAAGCCUGAUGCAGCGACGCCGCGUGAGGGAUGAAGGCCUUCGGGUUGUAAACCUCUUUCGUCAGGGAACAAGGCACUGCUUUGGUGGUGUUGAGGGUACCUGGAUAAGAAGCGCCGGCUAACUACGUGCCAGCAGCCGCGGUAAUACGUAGGGCGCAAGCGUUGUCCGGAAUUAUUGGGCGUAAAGAGCUCGUAGGCGGCUGGUCGCGUCUGUCGUGAAAACUUCCGGCUCAACCGGGGGCUUGCGGUGGGUACGGGCCGGCUAGAGUGCGGUAGGGGUAACUGGAACUCCCGGUGUAGCGGUGGAAUGCGCAGAUAUCAGGAAGAACACCGAUGGCGAAGGCAGGUUACUGGGCCGUUACUGACGCUGAGGAGCGAAAGCGUGGGGAGCGAACAGGAUUAGAUACCCUGGUAGUCCACGCCGUAAACGUUGGGCACUAGGUGUGAGGCUCCUUUCCGGGGGUUUUGCGCCGUAGCUAACGCAUUAAGUGCCCCGCCUGGGGAGUACGGCCGCAAGGCUAAAACUCAAAGGAAUUGACGGGGGCCCGCA